RNAcentral lists this ribosomal RNA (497 nucleotides) under uncultured bacterium. Its description in RNAcentral is "partial 16S ribosomal RNA". It matches the Rfam family "Bacterial small subunit ribosomal RNA", at positions 28 to 507 of the family's 1533-position model. The record is from RNAcentral.
GACGAACGCUGGCGGCGUGCCUAAUACAUGCAAGUUGAGCGAUGAAGCUUGGUGCUUGCACCAAUUUGAAGAGCAGCGAACGGGUGAGUAACGCGUGGGGAAUCUGCCUUUGAGCGGGGGACAACAUUUGGAAACGAAUGCUAAUACCGCAUAACAACUUUAAACAUAAGUUUUAAGUUUGAAAGAUGCAAUUGCAUCACUCAAAGAUGAUCCCGCGUUGUAUUAGCUAGUUGGUGAGGUAAAGGCUCACCAAGGCGAUGAUACAUAGCCGACCUGAGAGGGUGAUCGGCCACAUUGGGACUGAGACACGGCCCAAACUCCUACGGGGGGCAGCAGUAGGGAAUCUUCGGCAAUGGACGAAAGUCUGACCGAGCAACGCCGCGUGAGUGAAGAAGGUUUUCGGAUCGUAAAACUCUGUUGGUAGAGAAGAACGUUGGUGAGAGUGGAAAGCUCAUCAAGUGACGGUAACUACCCAGAAAGGGACGGCUAACUACGUG